UGUUCUCACCCUUCUGGAGGCCUAGGACC
RNAcentral lists this non-coding RNA (29 nucleotides) under Mus musculus (house mouse). The record is from RNAcentral. Lineage: Eukaryota; Metazoa; Chordata; Mammalia; Rodentia; Muridae.